GAUGAACGCUGGCGGCGUGCCUAAUACAUGCAAGUCGAGCGAACGGACGAGAGGCUUGCUUCUCUGAUGUUAGCGGCGGACGGGUGAGUAACACGUGGAUAACCUACCUAUAAGACUGGGAUAACUUCGGGAAACCGUAGCUAAUACCGGAUAAUAUUUUGAACCGCAUGGUUCAAAAGUGAAAGACGGUCUUGCUGUCACUUAUAGAUGGAUCCGCGCUGCAUUAGCUAGUUGGUAAGGUAACGGCUUACCAAGGCAACGAUGCAUAGCCGACCUGAGAGGGUGAGCGGCCACACUGGAACUGAGACACGGUCCAGACUCCUACGGGAGGCAGCAGUAGGGAAUCUUCCGCAAAGGGCGAAAGCCUGACGGAGCAACGCCGCGUGAGUGAUGAAGGUCUUCGGAUCGUAGAACUCUGUUAUUAGGGAAGAACAUAUGUGUAAGUAACUGUGCACAUCUUGACGGUACCUAAUCAGAAAGCCACGGCUAAGUACGUG
This 497-nucleotide ribosomal RNA is filed under the name uncultured bacterium. Its description in RNAcentral is "partial 16S ribosomal RNA". It matches the Rfam family "Bacterial small subunit ribosomal RNA", at positions 28 to 507 of the family's 1533-position model. The record is from RNAcentral.